GCCUGGCUGGCUCAGUGGGUGGAGCCUGGGACUCUUGAUCUCAGGGUUGUGGGUUUGAGCCCCACGUUGGAUG
Non-coding RNA from Canis lupus familiaris (dog), 73 nucleotides. Lineage: Eukaryota; Metazoa; Chordata; Mammalia; Carnivora; Canidae. The record is from Rfam.